AGCAGCCGCGGUAAUUCCAGCUCCAAUAGCGUAUAUUAAAGUUGUUGCAGUUAAAAAGCUCGUAGUUGAAUUUCGGGGUUAGUAGGUUGGUCAUGCCUCUGGUAUGUACUGGUCUCACUGAUUCCUCCUUCCUGAUGAACCUUAAUGCCAUUUAUUUGGUGUUUUGGGGAAUUUGGACUGUUACUUUGAAAAAUUAGAGUGUUUAAAGCAAGCUAACGCUUGAAUACAUUAGCAUGGAAUAAUGAAAUAGGACGUUCGAUCCUAUUUUGUUGGUUUCUAGGAUUGACGUAAUGAUUAAUAGGGAUAGUUGGGGGCAUUGGUAUUCAAUUGUCAGAGGUGAAAUUCUUGGAUUUAUUGAAGACUAACUACUGCGAAAGCAUAUGCCAAGGAUGUUUUCAUUAAUCAAGAACGA
Molecule: ribosomal RNA, 412 nt
Filed under: uncultured Glomeromycotina
Lineage: Eukaryota; Fungi; Glomeromycota
Description: SSU rRNA
Rfam family: Eukaryotic small subunit ribosomal RNA
Source: RNAcentral